Triticum aestivum (bread wheat) is the source of this 134-nucleotide non-coding RNA. NCBI's taxonomy places the organism in Eukaryota, Viridiplantae, Streptophyta, Magnoliopsida, Poales, Poaceae. The record is from Rfam.
UGCAUACUCCCUCUGUCCCGAAUUACUUGUCUUAGAUUUCUCUACAUAUGGAUGUAUCUAGGCACAUUUAGUGUUAGAUACAUCCGUAUCUAAACAAAUGUGAGACAAGUAAUUUAGGACGGAGGUAAUAGAAA